This 350-nucleotide ribosomal RNA is filed under the name uncultured bacterium. RNAcentral describes it as "bacterial SSU rRNA". It matches the Rfam family "Bacterial small subunit ribosomal RNA", at positions 181 to 512 of the family's 1533-position model. The record is from RNAcentral.
CUAGAGGGCAUCCUCUGGAACUUAAAGCUGGGGACCGCAAGGCCUGGCACUUCAUGAUGAACUCGCGACCUAUCAGCUAGUUGGUGAGGUAACGGCUCACCAAGGCUAAGACGGGUAGCUGGUCUGAGAGGACGACCAGCCACACUGGAACUGAGACACGGUCCAGACACCUACGGGUGGCAGCAGUCGAGAAUUUUUCACAAUGGGCGAAAGCCUGAUGGAGCGACGCCGCGUGGGGGAUGAAUGGCUUCGGCCCGUAAACCCCUGUCAUUUGCGAACAAACCUUGUUAUUUAAAAGAUGACAAGUUGAUAGUAGCGAAAGAGGAAGGGACGGCUAACUCUGUGCCAGC